Acromyrmex echinatior (Panamanian leafcutter ant) is the source of this 791-nucleotide long non-coding RNA. Lineage: Eukaryota; Metazoa; Arthropoda; Insecta; Hymenoptera; Formicidae. The record is from RefSeq and is a predicted model, not a curated record.
CGCGACGCGCGACGCAUCGGUCUGAUCGGUCACCUUGAUUACCUUGAUAUUCGUGCGGUGGGGCUCGAGACGAUAAACAGCGUCGCAAUCAUUCUGCAUGUUGUAUCAUUUUGCGAGAUGCGAACAUGACAAGGAGAGUUCCACAGCAUUCUUCUGAGAGCAAUCGCUAUUAACAGCAGUCUGAUUAAGUAACCAACACGAUAUGUGAACUCAAAUAAAAGAGAGCGGGACAGAGAGAGAGAGAGAGAGAGAGAGAGAGAGAGAGAGAGAGAGCAGGCUGAAUUUUAUCGAGGGGUCCCUGGCGAAAAUAUAAAUUGGAAUGAGUGCUACUUACAAACAAUUAUGGAAAACUAAGAAGAGAUGAAAAGAAGACGUCAUGCUGAUUUAAUUGUGAAAAAAUAAACGAACCACAACUGAUUAGUCGCGCAUUUGCUUUGAGUGUACCAUUCAAGUUAUCGGAUUAAAAGACUUAUUGAUAAUAUAAUUAGUUUAUUCGCGAUUAUAUUAUCUGUGUGUACUUUUCUCGAGUGUGUGUGUCAAAUGUUCUGUGUGUGUCCACGAGAGGAUAAGGCCUUACAAUUCAAACUUUCUGAAGAGGAAGAGGCCCAGGAAGGGCAUCAGGCUCCGGCGAAGCAAGCUUGGGUAUCGUCGUAGCUAUGGCAGACAACUUCGCCCGUUGCGCAUCAAUCGGUGAGUAAAAAAAGUUCAUUUUACAUUGAAGGAUCUAUGAAAAAAAAAUUUUAUCUGAUACACAUGGAUAUGUUGCACAUCCAUAUAGAUGUACCAACGAU